CUUCGCUGCCAGCCGUCGCCCGACGAGGCGCGCCCGCUGCAGGCGCUGCUGGACGGCCGCGGGCUCUGCGUCAACGCUAGUGCCGUCAGCCGCCUGCGCGCCUACCUGCUGCCAGCGCCGCCAGCUCCAGGAAAUGCGAGUGAGUCGGAGGAAGACCGCAGCGCCGGCAGUGUAGAGAGCCCGUCCGUCUCCAGCACGCACCGGGUGUCUGAUCCCAAGUUCCACCCCCUCCAUUCAAAGAUCAUCAUCAUCAAGAAAGGGCAUGCUAAAGACAGCCAGCGCUACAAAGUUGACUACGAGUCUCAGAGCACAGAUACCCAGAACUUCUCCUCCGAGUCCAAGCGGGAGACAGAAUAUGUGAGAGCUUUUCCUCUUGUUAAAGGAGGAGGGCAAGACCUGCCAAGCCUGGGUACUCAGAGCCUCUUGAGGGCAAUUCUUACUCAACAAACCCCAGCGUCUGGCUGAUGGGUGGGCAACCCCUAGCCCCUCUGUGCCCUACCUCUCUCCUCUCCUUACAUAAAGAAUAUUGACCCUUUUGGAGAAUCUUAUGAGGAUCAAGCUGAAAUAACACUCU
Molecule: small RNA, 574 nt
Filed under: Pan troglodytes (chimpanzee)
Lineage: Eukaryota; Metazoa; Chordata; Mammalia; Primates; Hominidae
Description: retained intron
Source: RNAcentral